Molecule: long non-coding RNA, 1400 nt
Organism: Scophthalmus maximus (turbot)
Lineage: Eukaryota; Metazoa; Chordata; Actinopteri; Pleuronectiformes; Scophthalmidae
Exons: 3
Source: RefSeq, a predicted model, not a curated record
GUCUGCUGGACGAAGGAAGAACAUUAAUGUUUACUGCAACGAAUACAACAAGUCUUAAGUCCUAGCCGGAGGUGUACCACACGGUUCUAUCAUGGAACCUGUUGUGUUUACUGUUACGUCAACUGAUGAGUCAAAGUCUAAUGGGAUUAAAAUCAUCUAAACCAGAGUCAGCUGUGAGACCUGGACUCCACCUGCUGCGUGUGAAAACUAUCUGACAGUGAUGCUCCUCCCUCCCGCCUCCAAACAGGAACUCCCACUUGGCUCGGGCGAUUCUCUGCGACCGCGCAGACGGAGUCGAUGCUGAGCCACUGUCCGACUGCAGGAGGAAAGAAAAACACUGUGACAACAUUCGUUUCUACUUCUGAAGGAACAGAAAUUAAAGCCGGGGGAAGCGGAGAGAAUUUCUUCAUGCAUUUUGAUAUUUUAUCACAUGAAAACACUAUUUCCGCUGCUUUGUGUAGUAAGAUACUCGUGACACUGUGUUUUUGUGAUGUACUAACAAGCUCUGACUUGUUGAAAACAGUUGUUAGAUCUCAGAAAGAAAGAGUCUUCUGCCCAAAGCUAAGACUCUGGGCCCUGCAGCUGUUUAUGUGUUACUGAGCAGCACAACAGUAGAAACUCAUCUGAGAUGAACUGGGACUGGUGAAACAGAAACUAACUGACUGUAAUUUUUUGUUAUAUAGUUAUUGUUAUCAAGGUCAACUGGACAGUAGGUCAUGAAAGGAGAUUUUAUUGUUCAUCUCUGCAGACAGACGACCUCACGCCACAGAUAAUCUACACAAUUACAUCCUCUCACACACACACAGGGUCUGGCUGUGUCUACAUACAACCGAGCCCUCAUCAUCAUCAUCCUCGUGUCCGGCCGACCUGUAUCCCAGAGCCAGUGUCGGUCGUAUCGUGGCUGGACUGGCUGGACGUUUCAGGGAAGAGACCGUCAUUUCUGUCCAGCUGGGAACUUUCUCCCAUGCUGCCCGUCACACCGCUGGAGCUCUGAGAGGACGACCCAGUGGCCCCGCUGUGAUCCUGAACCUCCUCUCUCUGAUCCAUAGAUACGCCUACAACUGACCUCUGGUUCCCCUGCACUGACGUCUUAACUCCUUCGUCUUCUCUGUCCUUCCUGUGAGUCUCCCCUUUGCUUUGAGUGUAAAUUAUACAGGUUGCCUCUCUACAGUCUUCAUCAUAGAGUUUGUCCCGGUCCUGGAAUGGUCCAGUCUCCCUCCACUCCUGGUCCCCGGAGGUCCAACUCAAGGGCAAUGCUUCUGUGUUUUGGUUGGAGAGAAGUCUCCAGUGGAGUUCAGGGCUAGCCCCAGUUUUAUCAAAAAGAUUAUCAUACUGACUUUGCUCCAUGCCAGGUGGUUUACAGUCUCCGGUGUACUGUGGUGGCCGGUAGCGAUGCAGGG